UUACGACCAUAGCACUCUGAAACACGGGUUCCCGUACGAUCAACAACAUUAAGCAACGUCGAGACUAGUCAGUACCUAGAUGGGUGACUGUUUAGGAAUAUUAGGUGCUGUCA
This is a non-coding RNA of Acanthosepion pharaonis, 113 nucleotides long. Lineage: Eukaryota; Metazoa; Mollusca; Cephalopoda; Sepiida; Sepiidae. The record is from the annotation of a GenBank genome assembly.